This 234-nucleotide ribosomal RNA is filed under the name uncultured bacterium. RNAcentral describes it as "partial 16S ribosomal RNA". It matches the Rfam family "Bacterial small subunit ribosomal RNA", at positions 118 to 347 of the family's 1533-position model. The record is from RNAcentral.
UGAGGAACAUGACCUUCGGCGGGGGAUAGCCGGCCCAACGGCCGGGUAAUACCGCGUACGACCACAUGGGGACAUCCCUGAGUGGUGAAAGCAGCAAUGCGCCGAUGGAGUGCCUCGCGGCCUAUCAGCUAGUUGGUGAGGUAACGGCUCACCAAGGCAACGACGGGUAGCUGGUCUGAGAGGAUGGCCAGCCACAUUGGGACUGAGACACGGCCCAGACCUGUACCGGGGAGG